GCGGCUCAAGGCACGCCGGGAAUUGUAGUCCAUGAAUGGUCCUACCCUCUACUCUUUCCCUGAGAUUUCGCCCUCCCAACGUGACCGGAGACGCUCAGUUCACGGAUGCAGUUGGUACUCCCAAGCUAGUUUGAUGUGGCGCGCUGGAUCCGGGAAGAGAACGGACUACAGCUCCCAGGAUCCCCUUAAGAUGGGCUUUGGGCUCCGAUAACUGACCAAGACCAGGAAGAUAAAAACAAUGUCAGAGGCCAACUGGAGACAGGAUUUGCUUUGGGCAAAGCGUUCCACUUGCUGAAGGUUCAAGAGUUGGCAAGUCCUGUGGCCACUCCCUCCACACCCCCACCAUCAGAAGUAUAGUGAGGAGUCUGCUAGAGGAUGCCAACUUCUGGGAUUAUCCUCUAGGCAUAGUGGUGGGCCCAUACAGAAAAUUCUUGGACAGCUUUUCCUGGAAUGUUUCUACUAACAACCCAUCUCAAACAUGAGAUCCCUUUACAGCAGAUCCCAAAUGCAGAGCUGUCUGCCUGGGGCUCAGUUCCCUCAGAAUCUUCCACUGGGGGUUGAAUGGACAACGCUUACCUGGGAGAUACACCGAGGAGCUGCCAGGCUUUGGUGCGCUGUGCUCCUGGUUUAUUUCUAGCCUUUCCUAGGCAGAGGCGCCUUUUUGGUGUCAAUUAAAUUCCCAUGGCUAGAACCUAA
RNAcentral lists this long non-coding RNA (696 nucleotides) under Mus musculus (house mouse). RNAcentral describes it as "RIKEN cDNA 1700022N22 gene, transcript variant 2 (1700022N22Rik)". Lineage: Eukaryota; Metazoa; Chordata; Mammalia; Rodentia; Muridae. The record is from RNAcentral.